AUACUUACCUGUCAGGGGGAAUACCACGAUCACAACGGUGGUUUCCCCAGGGUGAGGCUCUUCCAUUGCACUUUUCGGUUGGGUUGUCCCCUGUGGUUCCCCAAAUGUGGGAAACUCAACUGCAUAAUUUAUGAUAGUGGGGGACUGCGUUCUCGCAGUUCCCUG
This is a small nuclear RNA of Protopterus annectens (West African lungfish), 165 nucleotides long. RefSeq annotates it as U1 spliceosomal RNA. NCBI's taxonomy places the organism in Eukaryota, Metazoa, Chordata, Ceratodontiformes, Protopteridae. The record is from RefSeq and is a predicted model, not a curated record. The transcript has a single exon.